UGGGGAAUUUUGGACAAUGGGCGCAAGCCUGAUCCAGCAAUGCCGCGCGCAGGAUGAAGGCCUUCGGGUUGUAAACUGCUUUUGUACGGAGCGAAAAGGUCUGCCCUAAUACGGUGGGCUCAUGACGGUACCAUAAGAAUAAGCACCGGCUAACUACGUGCCAGCAGCCGCGGUAAUACGUAGGGUGCGAGCGUUAAUCGGAAUUACUGGGCGUAAAGCGUGCGCAGGCGGUUAUAUAAGACAGAGGUGAAAUCCCCGGGCUCAACCUGGGAACUGCCUUUGUGACUGCAUAGCUAGAGUACGGUAGAGGGGGAUGGAAUUCCGCGUGUAGCAGUGAAAUGCGUAGAUAUGCGGAGGAACACCGAUGGCGAAGGCAAUCCCCUGGACCUGUACUGACGCUCAUGCACGAAAGCGUGGGGAGCAAACA
This 427-nucleotide ribosomal RNA is filed under the name uncultured bacterium. RNAcentral describes it as "bacterial SSU rRNA". It matches the Rfam family "Bacterial small subunit ribosomal RNA", at positions 355 to 774 of the family's 1533-position model. The record is from RNAcentral.